Molecule: ribosomal RNA, 253 nt
Filed under: uncultured bacterium
Lineage: Bacteria
Description: partial 16S ribosomal RNA
Rfam family: Bacterial small subunit ribosomal RNA
Source: RNAcentral
GACAGAGGGUGCAAACGUUGUUCGGAAUUACUGGGCGUAAAGCGUGUGUAGGCUGCUCCGAUAGUCGGAUGUGAAAGCCCUGGGCUCAACCUCGGAUCGGCCGUGGCGACUCGUGGGCUGGAGCACUGUAGAGGCGGGUGGAAUUCCGGGUGUAGCGGUGGAAUGCGUAGAGAUCCGGAAGAACACCAGUGGCGAAGGCGGCCCGCUGGGCAGUGGCUGACGCUGAGGCGCGACAGCGUGGGGAGCAAACAGG